AAAGGGAUACUUCUUCGGACAUAUACAAGGUGCUGCAUGGUUGCGUCAGCUCGUGCCGUGAGGUGUCGGGUUAAGUCCCAUAACGAGCGCAACCCCUACUGCUAGUUGCCAGCGGGUCAUGCCGGGGACUCUAGCGGAACUGCCAGCGUAAGCUGCGAGGAAGGUGGGGAUGACGUCAAAUCAGCACGGCCCUUACGUCCAGGGCUACACACGUGUUACAAUGGCCGGUACAGAGGGCAGCCACCCCGCGAGGGGCGCGAAUCCCGAAAGCCGGUCCCAGUUCGGAUCGGAGUCUGCAACCCGACUCCGUGAAGCUGGAUUCGCUAGUAAUCGCGCCAUCAGCCACGGCGCGGUGAAUACGUUCCCGGGCCUU
This 373-nucleotide ribosomal RNA is filed under the name uncultured Rikenellaceae bacterium. Its description in RNAcentral is "bacterial SSU rRNA". It matches the Rfam family "Bacterial small subunit ribosomal RNA", at positions 1004 to 1382 of the family's 1533-position model. Lineage: Bacteria; Pseudomonadati; Bacteroidota; Bacteroidia; Bacteroidales; Rikenellaceae. The record is from RNAcentral.